RNAcentral lists this ribosomal RNA (465 nucleotides) under Vreelandella stevensii. Its description in RNAcentral is "partial 16S ribosomal RNA". It matches the Rfam family "Bacterial small subunit ribosomal RNA", at positions 338 to 795 of the family's 1533-position model. Lineage: Bacteria; Pseudomonadati; Pseudomonadota; Gammaproteobacteria; Oceanospirillales; Halomonadaceae. The record is from RNAcentral.
CCUACGGGAGGCAGCAGUGGGGAAUAUUGGACAAUGGGGGGAACCCUGAUCCAGCCAUGCCGCGUGUGUGAAGAAGGCCCUCGGGUUGUAAAGCACUUUCAGUGAGGAAGAACGCCUGGUGGUUAAUACCCAUCAGGAAAGACAUCACUCACAGAAGAAGCACCGGCUAACUCCGUGCCAGCAGCCGCGGUAAUACGGAGGGUGCGAGCGUUAAUCGGAAUUACUGGGCGUAAAGCGCGCGUAGGUGGCUUGAUAAGCCGGUUGUGAAAGCCCCGGGCUCAACCUGGGAACGGCAUCCGGAACUGUCAAGCUAGAGUGCAGGAGAGGAAGGUAGAAUUCCCGGUGAAGCGGUGAAAUGCGUAGAGAUCGGGAGGAAUACCAGUGGCGAAGGCGGCCUCCUGGACUGACACUGACACUGAGGUGCGAAAGCGUGGGUAGCAAACAGGAUUAGAUACCCGAGUAGUC